AACGCAGCGACCUUACUCGUGAGCGUUUCACAGCAGGCAAUUCGUUUUGAAUGAAAUAUUCUAAUCAGGGUCGGACAAAGCAAACUUAUUAGCCAAUGAAAGCUCCAGUGUGCUGCCAGGUUUUGCGACAAAAACAGUAAUUAACGCAGCUAAAAAAAUUAAAUCAAUAAAACCGUAGCUAUUAUGAUAUAAGCUAGCUGGUUAAGUGCAUUAACCGUGUAGAACGUGAUGUUUGUGCCGGGCUGGACUGGGUUCGAGCUGACAGGUAAACUCACGUAACCACUCUUUACAACCACAGUGAGCUGAAGAGCAUCUCAGAACGCACAACACGGCCGAACAUUAAGGCUGAUGCCCAACAGAAUCCCACAAGGUUCAAUGAAACUGGACAGCUGAGGAUUGUAAAGCGACCAGGUUUAAGCUGUUAAAAGGUAACAAGCCUCACUGAAGGAUACAGUCCACGUCCACACACCACACAGCUCCGGUGUGG
Ictalurus punctatus (channel catfish) is the source of this 487-nucleotide long non-coding RNA. RefSeq lists it as uncharacterized. NCBI's taxonomy places the organism in Eukaryota, Metazoa, Chordata, Actinopteri, Siluriformes, Ictaluridae. The transcript has 2 exons. The record is from RefSeq and is a predicted model, not a curated record.